Saccostrea cuccullata (small rock oyster) is the source of this 351-nucleotide long non-coding RNA. RefSeq lists it as uncharacterized. The transcript is spliced from 2 exons. The record is from RefSeq and is a predicted model, not a curated record. NCBI's taxonomy places the organism in Eukaryota, Metazoa, Mollusca, Bivalvia, Ostreida, Ostreidae.
UAUCUAUUACAGGUUACAAUAUAUCUUUAAUCGCAGACAAGAAAACCAUAGUUAAGAUGGAGAUAAGGUACCACAAAGAAAUCUUGCUUUAAAGCCAUGAAAGGACAUCCAAGGAACCUCAUUCACUGAUGUUAGAGCUUGGUAAAUCUACCCUUUAGCAAAGAUGAUGGAAGUGUUGAUCAACAUAAUAUUAAACUUUGCAGAUUGAAACAAAUGUGUACAUGAUAUGAUAACAAGACUCUUGAUUUCCUGGAAAAUAAACUCUGGUCUGGUUCAAAAUACUAAUUGAUGAUUUCCUUGACAGUACAUUUGCAUGUAAUGUCAAUAAAGAAUUAUAUAAAGUUGAGCAAA